RNAcentral lists this long non-coding RNA (1356 nucleotides) under Rosa chinensis. Its description in RNAcentral is "sRNA RchiOBHm_Chr4g0387561". The record is from RNAcentral. Lineage: Eukaryota; Viridiplantae; Streptophyta; Magnoliopsida; Rosales; Rosaceae.
CUCUCAUUUCCUUCCCCAAACCCCGCAACCUCCCCAACAGCCACCGCAAUCACUUUCAAUCAAAAACCAACUGCCGUCACCACUGGGCGUGGCAAACCCACCUAAAUCUAGUCGCUAACCCUAAUCCCUCAUUCCCUCAGCCUCUAUUCGAGAUUUUGACUAUCCCUGACCCUCAGCCUCUCUUCGACUCACUCCCUCUGUCCCUCAGUUUCAGUCGCCGCCGACCCACCGCAAAGUUCGACGGUUCGGCCUCAUCUCUAAGCUAGCUCUAACCUUUCAGUCAGUCAUCUCACUCCCUCAGCCUCUCUAAGCUAGCUCCUAUUCGUAAUCUCGAACCGCUGAACCGCCGACCCACGGCUUUGCUUCGACCCAUUGCAGGUGGGGUGGUGAUAUUGCUGAGCCCUUGCGCUCUUUAAAUCAUUGAGUAAUUGAGGUUCGUCGACAGACAAAGCACAAUAUUUUUGGACAUCACGAUCUUCUUCAUUAUCAAAGAAGAAGAAGAAAAAGAAGAGGGAAACGGGAAGAAUUUCACUGUUCUUCAAGUCAGCACGGGUGGGUGAUGUUCGAUUUGAACAGAAAUCGAGUAAAUUGAUCAUCCCAGUUAUUCAAGUUUGGCCAGUGCAGUCCGUUUGCAUACCUGAAGGUUCUAAUACUAGCAAAGAGAAAUUGUAUUCAAGGGACCUCACAGUCCAAUUUAAAAAUUAGGAGGAGAGUGGAGCUUUCCAUUAUUAUGUAUCAAGCAAGGGAAUAUAUGCAGUUUCGUGACACCAAUGAAAUUCAUGCAUCAUCAGUUUUGUGACAGCAAUGAGGAGGAGAGUGGUGCCUUCCAUUAUUAUCUAUCAAGCAACAUACUAUCUCCUUGGAGGUCACUGACAGCAAAGGGAUCUUCAUUUUAAGAGGCAGAGUUAGAUAAGGAAUAGGGGUUGAAUUUGGAGCUGCAGUCAUACUUUGACAGUUCUUUCAGAGGCUGGAAGAAGAGGAGGGGAGAGGCAGAAAGUAAGCAACUGCAAAUGAGAUCCAACAAGUCUUUGUAAAGUCUGAGGCAUUCAAACAGAAAAGGGAAGAAGGGAAAUCAGUUUCAUCUCGAAUUUCAUAGGAAAUUGCUUUGGCUCCCACAGCAUUUACAAUGGCAUUGGAAUUUCAAGCUGAUGGUUGAUAUACCAAGUAGUUUACAAUCAGGGUUAUGCAUAUAUACUCACGCAGCCCGGAAUACCUUCCGUUUUCUAUGACCAAUUCUAUGAUUCGGGUGAUUCAAUUCAUGAUCAGAUUGUGAAACUGGUACAGCAGUGUAGCUAGGUAGUUCCUUUAUUAACUUGUGUCUAGUAGAUUCUUCAUUCAUUAAGCAUUUGGACUUGU